UAAUACCUGAUAAGCCCACGGGGUCUUUGGACCCUGCGGGAAAAGGGGGGGACCUUCGGGCCUUCUGUCACCAGAUGAGUCUGCGUACCAUUAGCUAGUUGGUAGGGUAAAGGCCUACCAAGGCGACGAUGGUUAGCUGGUCUGAGAGGAUGAUCAGCCACACUGGAACUGAGACACGGUCCAGACUCCUACGGGAGGCAGCAGUGGGGAAUUUUGCGCAAUGGGGGAAACCCUGACGCAGCAACGCCGCGUGAGUGAUGAGGGCUCUUGGGUCGUAAAGCUCUGACAGAGGGAAAGAAAUGUAUUGUGGCUAAUAUCCACGAUACUUGACGGUACCCUCAAAGGAAGCACCGGCUAACUCCGUGCCAGCAGCCGCGGUAAUACGGGGGGUGCAAGCGUUGUUCGGAUUUAUUGGGCGUAAAGCGCGUGUAGGCGGUUUGUUAAGUCUGAUGUGAAAGCCCUGGGCUCAACCCGGGAAGUGCAUUGGAAACUGGCAGACUUGAAUACGGGAGAGGAGAGUGGAAUUCCUGGUGUAGGAGUGAAAUCCGUAGAUAUCAGGAGGAACACCGGUGGCGAAGGCGGCUCUCUGGACCGAUAUUGACGCUGAGACGCGAAAGCGUGGGUAGCAAACAGGAUUAGAUACCCUGGUAGUCCACGCCGUAAACGAUGAGUACUAGGUGUCGCGGGUA
Molecule: ribosomal RNA, 689 nt
Filed under: uncultured Geobacter sp.
Lineage: Bacteria; Pseudomonadati; Thermodesulfobacteriota; Desulfuromonadia; Geobacterales; Geobacteraceae
Description: bacterial SSU rRNA
Rfam family: Bacterial small subunit ribosomal RNA
Source: RNAcentral